GAGAGGCGCCUCCGCCGCUCCUUUCUCAUGGAAAUGGCCCGGGAGCCCGGCCGUCGCGGCGCCCCUCCCGCGGGAAAAAGGCGAGCCCCGGCCCCCGGUGGCCCCUCGCUCCGCGGACAAAUCCGGCGAACAAUGCGCCCGCCCAGAGGGCGGCCCAGCUGCUGGGCCGGGGAUCUGGCCGCGGGACACAAAGGGGCCCGCAUGCCUAGGACGUCACGAGAAGGGUGGGGGCGACCGCGGGGGAGAAUGUGGCCACCCGGCCCCUGACCACGUGUGUCCGCAGCUCUGAGUGCUCGAGAUCCCGAAGAGGGAGACGAGGGCCAGAAGACAAAGGGAGGGGCUGGGGAAGCGGCGGGCUGAGGGGCGCGGGAGGGAAGUGUGCAGCUUCCCGGGUUGUGUUGGCGCGUCCCGCUACCCACGGGCAGUCCUGGGCGCUGUCCUCGGUGCUGGCCGUGGAGUCACCCAGAGAGACGGGGCGCUAAUGCGCUUGGGGCGAAGGGAUGUCAUGAGUAUCACUGUUCCCAUCUAGGGGGCCCUGGAUAGUUGCCGCAGCAACCCCAGAGAAAUGGGGUAGGGUCUGGGGUCACUGCAGUCUGUCCCCUGGGCGCUCUAGUUGGGGUCGCAGGGUGAAGGCGGUGAUCACUUUGAUUCUGAAGAAACCCCUGAACCUUAGGUUGAGGUUCGAGCUGUGGAAGUGGGGGAUCUGCAUCUGCAUCCAAGGUCUAAAUCUGGGUGGAUACACUGGACCGCAUCCCGCCCCCAAACCUCUCUCCAGCUAUGCGGGACGCGAGGCACGUGAGGCUCUGCAGCCCAGAGAGAAAAUGACAAAUCCUCCUCCUCCCUCCCCCACCACCAUCUGCAGCCGCAGUGACACCCACUCAGGUCUGCUGCAGGCAUUUUUUUUUCCCUGUCCUCGGCAGCCAGCGCCACCUGCUGGCGUCCUGGUAUGAGACUCUGCUCUGGCAUGUCUCCUCCCAGCAAGGUUUCCGAUCCCCAAGGUUACAGGCCCUAUUACCUAGGGCAAUGGUUCUCAACCUUCAGAAUGCUGCUACCCUUUAAUACAAUUCUUCAUGUUGUGGUGACUCCUCCCCCCAACCAUAAAAUUAUUUUCGUUGCUA
This 1118-nucleotide long non-coding RNA is filed under the name Mus spretus (western wild mouse). RNAcentral describes it as "lncRNA (ENSMSPG00010004123.1)". The record is from RNAcentral. Lineage: Eukaryota; Metazoa; Chordata; Mammalia; Rodentia; Muridae.